AUACAUGUUGUAAAUCAUGCAUACCAACUGUUGGAUGAAUUACCUUAAUAAAGAACGUUUUGUGUGGAUCUCACUUGUGGGACCAUCUUUCUCUAUCGAUGAAUGGGCACACAUGGAUGUAUGGUUGAAGACUAUACCAUUGAUGCCCCUUUGGAUAAAAGUAGAGCUGGUCUGACCAUUUAAACUUUCCUUUCAUCAUUAUGUGUUUUUACACCUAAUAGAUUUGAUGAACUUUAACCAUUUUUGCUUUUAGCCCUGUUUGAGGGAUACCAUUCCUAUGAUAAAAAUGCAAUUGCCAAAGUAAUUUUCAGUCUGUCCAGAUACAUAAGGAUCCAUCAGAGGGAUGUUUCAGAUCAUCAAAAUAUACAAUCAUGUGUGCUUGGCUUGUCCAUAAUUGCUUGAGCCAAGAAAUGGACCUCAACCACUAAUUAUCCUUAUAUCGAAUGCUUACAUAGAUGCAUUGAGGUCGGAAAGCCUUGAGCGUGUGCAACCCAGCUCUCUUACAAUCCAACACAGGCCUGGAUAGAAGGUGUGUAAUAUCCAAGCUUUCCAUCAGGUGGUUCCCCACUUCUUGAUGCCACGGUCCAAAAAUCAGGCAAGUCCACUCCAUAUGCUUAUUCAAAGUGGAAGUAACUAUAUAGAGUGUAGGCUCAGGGGUCCACAAUGCUUACAUGGAUGCAUGAUCAAAGUUGCUCAUCAGUUUUAUCCUUGAAGAAAAAGGGAAGAAAAAUCUGUCCACAUUUAUAAAUAAAAAAUUAAAAAAAUCCAUAGCUAUUCUCCUCCAUCUGCUAGUUAUAGGUAUUCAUUGGUUCCUUUUA
Molecule: long non-coding RNA, 818 nt
Organism: Magnolia sinica
Lineage: Eukaryota; Viridiplantae; Streptophyta; Magnoliopsida; Magnoliales; Magnoliaceae
Exons: 3
Source: RefSeq, a predicted model, not a curated record